This 652-nucleotide unclassified non-coding RNA is filed under the name uncultured fungus. RNAcentral's name for it is "sequence contains 18S rRNA gene, ITS1, 5.8S rRNA gene, ITS2, 28S rRNA gene". The record is from RNAcentral. Lineage: Eukaryota; Fungi.
UGAUGUCGCCGUUCAACGAGGAGGACUUUUAGCAUGCCAGACAAAGACCCUGGCCGCGUGCUGCAUGUGCAGUUCGAUCUGGCCGAAGCCAAGCAAUUCUGCUGGUUGCUUAACCGUGCGGUCGCCACGCUACAGCCCGAGAAGUGGCCGCCGAUCACGGAAGAGCUGAUCCAGCAAGUUGAAAAAUUCGUGGAGGAGUAGACAUGAGGCGCGGCGCGUACAUUCACCCUGACGAUGUUCGUCAAACACUAUCGAAAAUGAUUGAUCAGAACAUCGAGCAGUUUCAGGUCGAAGACGACCGUGGCGGCACAGGCUAUUGGCGGAUUUACGUGGACGAAGUAGACGUGCCUGCCGCCAAGUUCCGCAAAGCAAUCGGAAAAGCUCAGCUAGUAAAGGAACACUAUUAAGAAUCAAGGCUGCGUUAUCGUUGUCGUUCGAGUCGCUAGACCAUCGUUAGUGUCUUGCCUUGACAUCGGUAUCGUAAAGCGCAUCUGCUAUGCAACGACCAUUUCCGCAGGUCAUGGGUUCGAUUCCCAUGCCCGCCUCCACAGUGCCUACGGGGCAUUCCAAGGCGGGCUAGCUCAGUCGGUAGAGCGACGGAAACUUUGUUAAUCGUUAUCGUCACCACAUAGCAGGCGUGGGGUUCAGCGCC